UCAAACCAUCAUACUAGACAAAGAGGAGUUUACUGGUGAAACAUUGUCCGAAAUUUUAUGAGCCAGAAUAACGAAAACAAGGAAAAUUCAUGUGGGCAUACCCAAUAACACCUCGACCCAAAUUACAUAAUUAUAUGCAUUGCAAAUAUCACAAUGAACCCUUUCCUGCUUGAAUUAAUCGGCAACAACAUGAUUUCUUCCUUACGCGUGUGGAUUUGUAUCUCAUCCUGCCAAAUCAUCAACUCACACCCCAAUGCGACUGGUCAAGCUAGU
RNAcentral lists this long non-coding RNA (273 nucleotides) under Ricinus communis (castor bean). RNAcentral describes it as "long non-coding RNA (RCOM_LNC000557)". Lineage: Eukaryota; Viridiplantae; Streptophyta; Magnoliopsida; Malpighiales; Euphorbiaceae. The record is from RNAcentral.